Molecule: RNase P RNA, 402 nt
Filed under: Sedimentitalea sp.
Lineage: Bacteria; Pseudomonadati; Pseudomonadota; Alphaproteobacteria; Rhodobacterales; Paracoccaceae
Description: RNase P RNA component class A
Rfam family: Bacterial RNase P class A
About the family: Ribonuclease P (RNase P) is a ubiquitous endoribonuclease, found in archaea, bacteria and eukarya as well as chloroplasts and mitochondria. Its best characterised activity is the generation of mature 5'-ends of tRNAs by cleaving the 5'-leader elements of precursor-tRNAs.
Source: RNAcentral
GCGGAGGGCCGGAUGGCCGCUGCGGCGGGAGGGCCCGGCGCAGAGGAAAGUCCGGACUCCCUGAAGCAACGGUGCCGGGUAACGCCCGGGCGGGGCAACCCGACGGAAAGCGCCACAGAGAUCAGACCGCCCCGCGUUCGCGGGGUGAGGGUGAAACGGUGGGGUAAGAGCCCACCGCGCCGCUGGCAACAGCGGUGGCACGGCAAGCCCCACCGGGAGCAAUGCCAAAUAGGACCCCCGCGCGGGCCGGUCCCCGCGAGGGGAAACCGCCGCUAGGCCCGCUUCAGCCGAGAGGGGUCGGGUUGGCAGCAGGAGGCGCCGGGCGACCGGCGUCCCAGAGGAAUGGCCGUCGACGGGGCCUCGGCCCCCGAACAGAAUCCGGCUUACAGGCCCUCCGCGCGU